UCGGGAUAACAACCUGGAAACAGAUGCUAAUACCGGAUAACAACAGAUGAUGCCUAUCAACUGUUUAAAAGAUGGUUCUGCUAUCACUCUUGGAUGGACCUGCGGUGCAUUAGCUAGUUGGUAGGGUAACGGCCUACCAAGGCGAUGAUGCAUAGCCGAGUUGAGAGACUGAUCGGCCACAUUGGGACUGAGACACGGCCCAAACUCCUACGGGAGGCAGCGGAC
This 225-nucleotide ribosomal RNA is filed under the name uncultured Lactobacillus sp. Its description in RNAcentral is "partial 16S ribosomal RNA". It matches the Rfam family "Bacterial small subunit ribosomal RNA", at positions 138 to 354 of the family's 1533-position model. The record is from RNAcentral. Lineage: Bacteria; Bacillati; Bacillota; Bacilli; Lactobacillales; Lactobacillaceae.